RNAcentral lists this ribosomal RNA (293 nucleotides) under uncultured eukaryote. Its description in RNAcentral is "partial 18S ribosomal RNA". It matches the Rfam family "Eukaryotic small subunit ribosomal RNA", at positions 6 to 295 of the family's 1831-position model. The record is from RNAcentral.
GGUUGAUCCUGCCAGUAGUCUAUGCUUGUCUCAAAGAUUAAGCCAUGCAUGUGUCAGUAUAAGGGAUUUAUCCCGAAACUGCGAACGGCUCAUUAAAUCAGUUAUCGUUUACUCGGUGUAAGUGAAGCUUCGGCUUGACGGAUAACUGUGGGAAACCUAUAGCUAAUACGUAAAGAAGGUGGUAAAACACCCGUCCUUGCCAUUUUUCGGAAUGGAGGAGGAAGAGUUUAUUAGUCUUAUAUCCAUUACCUUCGGGUAGUGGAGGGAAUCAACCACAGUUUGGUGAAUCACAA